CAACUCGACUGCAUGAAGCCGGAAUCGCUAGUAAUCGCGGAUCAGAAUGCCGCGGUGAAUACGUUCCCGGGUCUUGUACACACCGCCCGUCACACCAUGGGAGUCGGAAAUGCCCGAAGCCGGUGGCCUAACCGAUAAGGGAGGAGCCGUCGAAGGCAGGUCUGAUGACUGGGGUGGAAGUCGUAACAAGGUAUC
This 195-nucleotide ribosomal RNA is filed under the name uncultured bacterium. RNAcentral describes it as "partial 16S ribosomal RNA". It matches the Rfam family "Bacterial small subunit ribosomal RNA", at positions 1308 to 1500 of the family's 1533-position model. The record is from RNAcentral.